AGAGACAAGGGAUUUUGAUGUUAAAGAGAUUGAUAUUAUUAGUGAUGAAGAGAAGACUGUUCAAGAAUUUCAACCUGAAUAUUCAGAGGAGAUUGUUCAGGAAUUUCAAAGUUUUGAAGCUGAUAUAAAUGGUGCAAAUGGUGAGAAUAAUCUAGGUUUUGAGAAUUGGAACAAUGGAGGUGAAUUGGGAUUGCCAAUUCGAGGAAAGACCGUUGUAGGCCAAGUUGGAAAAACAGAUCUCCGGCGAUCAAAAACAAAUUUCUACAGAGUAUUGGACAGAGCAUAUAUUGAUGGAUCGCUGCUAUAUUGCAACUAUGUCACUGUUUUAAUAAACAUGAAUUUCUGAUUGACUUGAGUGUGGAAAUUGAGGAUUUGGUAACUAUUCAAGAUGCUCUAGAAUCUCUCACCAAGAUGUACCAAAUUACAGAUUUUGGAACAAAGUUUGGACGUGACAAUUGUAAGGAGGAAGAGGAGCGACAAUUUAUGAUAGACCAGGCUCCUACAAGGCAAGGGGAUCAUCAUUUAUUGAGAAGAUUGGCAAGCAUAUAGAGUUUCCAUUAGAUUGGACUUGAAACCCUACACCAAUGGCAGUCAAGGGAGUAAUGACAGUCAAGCACAUUUGAAGUCUCAUCUUUAAGCAACUAUGGUACAUAAUGGAUUUUUAUCCACUUGUGGGCAUUACCUUUGCUACAUGUCUGGGCAUUAUUUUUGCUACAUGCAGGCCUUUCCAACCACAUGAUAUAAGCUAGACGACUUAAAGGUAAUUAAGGUUGCUGAAGAGGUUGGUUUUGGCUUUCAUGGUUAUGAUUUGGAGUUUGGUUCCUCUAAGAUUUUACUUCUCAAAGAGGAUGAGUGUGUGAGAAGUGGCAAAGAAAUAAAAUCAAAAUUAAGAUUCUGUCGUUGGAGGGAGAAUGUGCAAUGGCUAAAUAAGACAACACAUUACACUUGGAAGGGAAAUAUAGUCCAGAUAAAUGCUUUCUACCAAUCAAGUUCUAGCAUUCAAGUGCAGCUUUAACCUUAGCAUUCAAGAUGCUUGAACAGAAGAAUUUUUCUUUUUUUCAUGGAACCUUUUCAUAUUCAUUCUUGAGGAUAGGAAUGAUUUCAAGAGGUGGGGAAUGUUAUGACUAAGUAGUUAGUAAAUGAUAUAAACAGCCCUUUGCAUUGUAAUUGAGGGGGA
RNAcentral lists this unclassified non-coding RNA (1177 nucleotides) under Hevea brasiliensis (rubber tree). The record is from RNAcentral. Lineage: Eukaryota; Viridiplantae; Streptophyta; Magnoliopsida; Malpighiales; Euphorbiaceae.